This 268-nucleotide ribosomal RNA is filed under the name uncultured bacterium. RNAcentral's name for it is "partial 16S ribosomal RNA". It matches the Rfam family "Bacterial small subunit ribosomal RNA", at positions 28 to 293 of the family's 1533-position model. The record is from RNAcentral.
GAUGAACGCUAGCGGCAGGCUUAACACAUGCAAGUCGAGGGGCAGCAGGGGUAGCAAUACUCGCUGGCGACCGGCAAACGGGUGCGGAACACGUACGCUAACAUACCUUUUACUGGGGCAUAGCCUUCUGAAAAGAAGAUUAACACCCAUAAUAUCAAAUGACUGGCAUCAGUCGAUGAUUAAAAUUUAUUGUAAGAGAUUGGCGUGCGUCCUAUUAGCUAGNGGUAUGGGUAAUGGCCUACCAAGGCGACGAUAGGGUAGCUGGUGU